AACUUUUAGCAACGGAUCUCUAGGCUCUUGCAGCGAUGAAGAAAGCAGCAAAAUGCGAAACGUGAUGCGAUUUGCAUGAAUCUGUGAGUCAUCUAAUCUUUGAACGCGAAUGGCACUGUUACGUAAGUAGCAGUAUGUCUGUUUGAGAAUCGCAAAACAAGAUCAACUCUAGUUGAGAGUUGGGACUGGCCUUAUAUGCGUGUGUGCGUAUUUGGCUUGAAUUGAUCGAGUUGAUGAGCUUCCCAGCGCGGCUCAAUGUGUGCUAGCGAGACAGUCGUCCCGAUCUCACAUUAUCGCUGCGUUGCAGAGUUCUGACCACAGCUCGCUAAACCUAUUAUCAAUUACGAUCUCAAAUCAGGCAAGAUUACCCGCUGAACUUAAGCAUAUCAAUAAGCGGAGGCU
This 402-nucleotide unclassified non-coding RNA is filed under the name uncultured Ascomycota. RNAcentral's name for it is "sequence contains ITS2". The stretch from base 1 to 152 matches the Rfam family "5.8S ribosomal RNA". The record is from RNAcentral. Lineage: Eukaryota; Fungi; Ascomycota.